RNAcentral lists this ribosomal RNA (148 nucleotides) under Arthroderma multifidum. Its description in RNAcentral is "5.8S ribosomal RNA". It matches the Rfam family "5.8S ribosomal RNA". From Rfam's summary of the family: 5.8S ribosomal RNA (5.8S rRNA) is a component of the large subunit of the eukaryotic ribosome. It is transcribed by RNA polymerase I as part of the 45S precursor that also contains 18S and 28S rRNA. Lineage: Eukaryota; Fungi; Ascomycota; Eurotiomycetes; Onygenales; Arthrodermataceae. The record is from RNAcentral.
CAACGGAUCUCUUGGUUCCGGCAUCGAUGAAGAACGCAGCGAAAUGCGAUAAGUAAUGUGAAUUGCAGAAUUCCGUGAAUCAUCGAAUCUUUGAACGCACAUUGCGCCCCCUGGUAUUCCGGGGGGCAUGCCUGUUCGAGCGUCAUUG